UACGGAGGAUGCGAGCGUUAUCCGGAUUUAUUGGGUUUAAAGGGUGCGUAGGCGGUCCGGAAAGUCAGCGGUAAAAGCCCGGGGCUCAACCCCGGCGAGCCGUUGAAACUGUCGGACUAGAGACGGCGAGAAGUACGCGGAAUGCGCGGUGUAGCGGUGAAAUGCAUGGAUAUCGCGCAGAACUCCGAUUGCGAAGGCAGCGUACCGGCGCCGGACUGACGCUGAGGCACGAAAGCGUGGGUAUCGAACAGG
This 252-nucleotide ribosomal RNA is filed under the name uncultured bacterium. RNAcentral's name for it is "partial 16S ribosomal RNA". It matches the Rfam family "Bacterial small subunit ribosomal RNA", at positions 524 to 776 of the family's 1533-position model. The record is from RNAcentral.